RNAcentral lists this ribosomal RNA (468 nucleotides) under uncultured bacterium. RNAcentral describes it as "partial 16S ribosomal RNA". It matches the Rfam family "Bacterial small subunit ribosomal RNA", at positions 28 to 507 of the family's 1533-position model. The record is from RNAcentral.
GACGAACGCUGGCGGCGUGCUUAACACAUGCAAGUCGAACGGAAAGGCCCUGCCUUUGUGUUGUGCUCGAGUGGCGAACGGGUGAGUAACACGUGAGUAACCUGCCCUUGACUUUGGGAUAACUUCAGGAAACUGGGGCUAAUACCGGAUAGGAGCUCCUGCUGCAUGGCGGGGGUUGGAAAGUUUCGGCGGUUGGGGAUGGACUCGCGGCCUAUCAGCUUGUUGGUGGGGUAGUGGCUUACCAAGGCUUUGACGGGUAGCCGGCCUGAGAGGGUGACCGGCCACAUUGGGACUGAGAUACGGCCCAGACUCCUACGGGAGGCAGCAGUGGGGAAUAUUGCACAAUGGGCGGAAGCCUGAUGCAGCAACGCCGCGUGCGGGAUGACGGCCUUCGGGUUGUAAACCGCUUUCGCCUGUGACGAAGCGUGAGUGACGGUAAUGGGUAAAGAAGCACCGGCUAACUACGUG